AUAAAUCAACUGUGUUACAAAAGUUUUGAAGUAAUAUUUAAAUUAACUUCAUGCAUAGUCACUAGUCCCUUUGAUGCUAGUAUCAAAUUUAUUGGACAUAGGCGUAGCAACAUCUACUUGAUUGAUCUUGAUGAGAUAGCCAUAAAAAAUGACUAAUGUCUUAUUGUUUAAGAUACUAAGAUCAAAGAAAUCAGCUAAAUGUGG
Molecule: long non-coding RNA, 204 nt
Filed under: Elaeis guineensis (African oil palm)
Lineage: Eukaryota; Viridiplantae; Streptophyta; Magnoliopsida; Arecales; Arecaceae
Description: long non-coding RNA (EGUI_LNC010651)
Source: RNAcentral